RNAcentral lists this transfer RNA (71 nucleotides) under Urocitellus parryii (Arctic ground squirrel). RNAcentral's name for it is "Spermophilus parryii (Arctic ground squirrel) tRNA". It matches the Rfam family "tRNA". Rfam says of the family: Transfer RNA (tRNA) molecules are approximately 80 nucleotides in length. Lineage: Eukaryota; Metazoa; Chordata; Mammalia; Rodentia; Sciuridae. The record is from Rfam by way of RNAcentral. RNAcentral also lists the same sequence under 2 other names.
GAGGUUGUGGCUCAAUGGUAGAGUGCUUGCUUAGCAUGUAUGAGGCACUGGGUUCAAUUCUCAGCACCUCA